Molecule: transfer RNA, 95 nt
Filed under: Armatimonadota bacterium
Lineage: Bacteria; Bacillati; Armatimonadota
Also listed under: 1 other name
Description: Armatimonadetes bacterium (bioreactor metagenome) tRNA-Sec
Rfam family: Selenocysteine transfer RNA
Source: RNAcentral
GGGAGCGGAUGGGUGCUGGUGUGCCUCCCGGUCUUCAAAACCGCGUGUGGCGCUUUUGGGCGCCGGGUGGGUUCGAUUCCCACACGUUCCCGCCA